RNAcentral lists this ribosomal RNA (457 nucleotides) under Salmonella enterica subsp. enterica serovar Virchow. RNAcentral describes it as "bacterial SSU rRNA". It matches the Rfam family "Bacterial small subunit ribosomal RNA", at positions 1088 to 1533 of the family's 1533-position model. Lineage: Bacteria; Pseudomonadati; Pseudomonadota; Gammaproteobacteria; Enterobacterales; Enterobacteriaceae. The record is from RNAcentral.
CGCAACGAGCGCAACCCUUAUCCUUUGUUGCCAGCGAUUAGGUCGGGAACUCAAAGGAGACUGCCAGUGAUAAACUGGAGGAAGGUGGGGAUGACGUCAAGUCAUCAUGGCCCUUACGACCAGGGCUACACACGUGCUACAAUGGCGCAUACAAAGAGAAGCGACCUCGCGAGAGCAAGCGGACCUCAUAAAGUGCGUCGUAGUCCGGAUUGGAGUCUGCAACUCGACUCCAUGAAGUCGGAAUCGCUAGUAAUCGUGGAUCAGAAUGCCACGGUGAAUACGUUCCCGGGCCUUGUACACACCGCCCGUCACACCAUGGGAGUGGGUUGCAAAAGAAGUAGGUAGCUUAACCUUCGGGAGGGCGCUUACCACUUUGUGAUUCAUGACUGGGGUGAAGUCGUAACAAGGUAACCGUAGGGGAACCUGCGGUUGGAUCACCUCCUUACCUUAAAGAAGC